CAGGGGCGUGGCUAGGGAACCCACAGCCCGUCAGCGCCACCUGCCACCUGCCACGGGCCACCUGCCACGGGCCUGCUGCGCACCGGGCAUCCCUUAGGUGGCUUCACCGUGGCCGUGAACAUUAGAGGCAGAAAGUAAGGCUCAGAGAGGCUAAGUGGCUUCCCCACAAGCAGAUACAAUAUCUGGGAAGCCGAGCCUAAGAUCUGCAGGAGCCUGCAGAGCUGGACUAUGCCAUGUUGCUCAUGCUAAAGCCACGAGUCGCCCGGGCGGCCAGGAACAAGAGGAGGACAAGACUUGCCAGAGGCUUUCGGGACCAAAGCUUGAGCUGUAAGCCAG
This 336-nucleotide long non-coding RNA is filed under the name Heterocephalus glaber (naked mole-rat). Its description in RNAcentral is "lncRNA (ENSHGLG00100035698.1)". Lineage: Eukaryota; Metazoa; Chordata; Mammalia; Rodentia; Bathyergidae. The record is from RNAcentral.